Molecule: ribosomal RNA, 274 nt
Filed under: uncultured bacterium
Lineage: Bacteria
Description: partial 16S ribosomal RNA
Rfam family: Bacterial small subunit ribosomal RNA
Source: RNAcentral
AUACAGAGGGUGCAAGCGUUAUUCGGAAUUACUGGGCGUAAAGCGCGCGUAGGCGGAUGAUUAAGUCAGUUGUGAAAGCCCUGGGCUCAACCUAGGAACUGCAUCUGAUACUGGUCGUCUAGAGUUUAAGAGAGGGAAGUGGAAUUCCAGGUGUAGCAGUGAAAUGCGUAGAUAUCUGGAGGAACAUCAGUGGCGAAGGCGACUUCCUGGCUUAAAACUGACGCUGAGGUGCGAAAGCGUGGGUAGCGAACGGGAUUAGAUACCCUGGUAGUCC